This is a non-coding RNA of Brachypodium distachyon (stiff brome), 136 nucleotides long. The record is from Rfam. Lineage: Eukaryota; Viridiplantae; Streptophyta; Magnoliopsida; Poales; Poaceae.
UCUGUACUCCCUCUGUCCAAUAAAAGAUGUCUCAAAUUUAUCAAAAUUUGAAUGUAUCUAGAAAUGACUUAGUGUAUAGAUGCAUUUAAAUUUAGUGAAAGUCGAGACAUCUUUUGUUGGACGGAGGGUGUAUAUU